RNAcentral lists this ribosomal RNA (428 nucleotides) under uncultured archaeon. Its description in RNAcentral is "bacterial SSU rRNA". It matches the Rfam family "Archaeal small subunit ribosomal RNA", at positions 474 to 903 of the family's 1478-position model. The record is from RNAcentral.
UACCAGCUCUCCGAGUGGUGUGGAUGUUUAUUGGGCCUAAAGCAUCCGUAGCUGGCUGGGCAAGUCCCCUGUUAAAUCCACCGAUUUAAUCGUUGGUGUGCGGGGGAUACUGUUCGGCUAGGGGACGGGAGAGGCCGACGGUAUUUUCGGGGGUAGGGGUGAAAUCCUAUAAUCCCGGGAAGACCACCAGUGGCGAAGGCUGUCGGCUAGAACGCGCCCGACGGUGAGGGAUGAAAGCUGGGGGAGCGAACCGGAUUAGAUACCCGGGUAGUCCCAGCUGUAAACGAUGCAGGCUAGGUGUUUGGGCGGCCACGUGCCGCUCUAGUGCCGCAGGGAAGUCGUUAAGCCUGCCGCCUGGGGAGUACGGCGCAAGGCUGAAACUUAAAGGAAUUGGCGGGGGGCACCACAAGGGGUGAAGCUUGCGGUUU